This 6284-nucleotide long non-coding RNA is filed under the name Brassica rapa (field mustard). RNAcentral's name for it is "long non-coding RNA (BRAP_LNC007897)". The record is from RNAcentral. Lineage: Eukaryota; Viridiplantae; Streptophyta; Magnoliopsida; Brassicales; Brassicaceae.
ACCGAAUUAAUGGUUUUAAAAUAAAUAAAAUUCAAAUAUGAAAGAGAAAUGGAGCCUUAAAAAGGCCAGAGGAAGGUAAGUAAUUAUCCUUUGUCAGCUACCAUAAUUACUGUCUCUGCCACCUCCCCUUCCUCCUCUUUCUUCUUACUCUCUAUAGGGAGUCUCUCUCACUAAUCUCUUUCUUACUUUGCAUUGUUUUUAUCACUCGCUGCUUCUUCAUCUUCCUCUUUCUCUCUUCACUGCAUGUUUGUCUCUUGACUAAAACUAUUCUCUCUGGUCUUUAUACUACCUGUAAGGUUUAACUCCUUAUAACCUUAGUUCGUUAACACGUUCGUUAUCUGCUUGUUGAUUGUUUAAGAAGAGAUUAAACUAAGCAAUAAGAACACACACGAAUUUAACGAGUUCCCAGCCUCAAACUGGUACGUCUCGUGGGAGACUGUCCUCCCAAACUUCACUAUGAAUAAGAGAGUACAAUCGAUCACGAUUGUGAUCAAGCUUGUGUAUAUGCAAGCUCUAUAUCUGAGAGUAAACGUAAAACCUUACAGCACAAGAAAGUCUAUCAGGUGUUUAUAUAGCUAGCAACAAUAAACCCUAACUUCUUGCUUUUGGGCUUUCGCAGGUGACAACGGAGACAGGCCCAUCCCAUGCAGCAUGCACUUAGACUUGGGCUUAGGCCUACAACCAACAAUCUCCACCUUGUGGGCUUGAGCCCAACUUCCACCAACCCUAAUGCCAUCUCCGUGUUUCUCUCUCUCUUGUCCGAAAACGCGAUCUCACUCGCAAUCUUCUCUCUCUUCUCAAUCCCUGUGAAGUCUCGAUCUUCUCGAGCUUGCUCCGGCGGUGUUCCUCUCUUCAGAGCUCCACCGUCUUCUGUGUUGCGAGGAAUCUCUCAAGACUAGAUGGAUCCAUGUUGAACCCGUCAUUUCUCUUCCUCGUCUGUGCAGACUGAUCUUGACGUCUUCGAUGAGGCUUGACGAAACGAGCUUCGAUUCUGGCCAGGAACCGCGUUUCUCUCCCCUCUGAGGUCUAGAUCGAUCGCUUCUGCCUCCAUAAUUCGUCGGCGUCAACACGAGCAACAUCAUUGAGUCUCCUUCGUCGCCUAUCUCCGGCUUCGAAACUCCUUCGAUGCCUAUCUCCGGCUUCGACCAUAUAGCUCAGGUAACCUUUGAGCUUCCUUUUCUCUUUGAUUCUCUUCUCAAUUCGCUGAUCUUUCUCCAACUUUCAGAAAAAAAAAAAAUAUUGUUUCUGACUCUUGGCCUUUUACAGCUUCUACCGAGAUGAUAUCAACUUUCCACAAGCUUCUUAUAUGUCCGAAACAACUUCUUCUGCUCCAGACUACACACUUGUCCCUGAAACUCCAACAAAUUUCAGAACCUUCCUCUCCGAUGCUCACUUCUUCGGCUUCGGAUACUCCACCUGCUCCAGAACACUCGGUAAUUACUCAAUCAAACUCGCUCUUCUCCUUUUGAUUUAUAUAAUUUUAUUAGAAUCUCACACUCCCUAGAACUCCACCGUAUUGAUACUAACGAGUCCUUGUUGCUUUGAUUGUGAGGUGUUGGCUUCUACUUCCGAGUGCUCCGCAGGUCCCAGUCUCCUCAUAUCACGUUGAGGAUACCCAGACACACAUCAAACUUGUUUCCAGGUACUCCUUUAGUUAGCAUGUCUGCUGGGUUUAGAGAAGUAUGAAUCUUAGAAACCUUGAUAGUGCCUGCUGUGAUGUGAUCUCUGAUGAAGUGUAGCUUGUAGUCAAUGUGUUUAGUUCUUUCGUGAUGCACACUGUUCUUAGCUAGACUGAUAGCGCUCUGUGAAUCACAAUGAAUUUCUACUGAAUCUUGCUCGAAACCCAAUUCGAUGCAAAUGCCUUUAAGCCAUAAGGCUUCUUUGACAGCUUCUGUGAGAGCCAUGUAUUCAGCCUCUGUGGUUGAUAAAGCCACCACAUGCUGAAGCGUGGAUCUCCAGCUGACUGUAUUACCACCAACCUUAAACACAUAUCCUGAAACAGAUCUUCUUUUAUCCAAAUCUGCUGCGAAAUCUGAAUCACAAAACCCCUGAAUAUCAAUCUUUUCAUGCUUCGUAAAUGUCAAACAACUUCCAGCUGAUCCCCUUAGAUAUUUAAGGAUCCAUUUCACUGCUUCCCAGUGAACUCUACUUGGUCUUCCCAUGAAACGACUUACUAAGCCUACUGCAAAGGCCAAGUCUGGUCGAGAUCCUAUCAUACCAUACAUGAGGCUCCCAACUGCGCUGGCAUAUGGUACAGAGCCCAUGUAGUAGAGUUCAAAAUCCGCUUCUUCAUCACUUAAACUCUUCAUCUUGUACUGGCUGCUAACUGGAGUGAUUACAGACUUUGCAUCCUCCAUUCGAAAAGUCCUAAGUACUUUCUUAAGGUAGCCUUCCUGAGAUAGCUUUAGUGUUCCUUCUUUUCUGUCUCUGACAAUAUCCAUUCCAAGGAUUCUUGUAGCAGCACCUAGGUCUUUCAUUUCGAAUUCAUUUUCAAGAUUCUUCUUUAGCACCUUAAUGGCUUUCUUGUCCCUAGAUGCAACCAACAUAUCAUCGACGUAUAGCAGUAGGUACACCCUGUCGUUGAUAUCUUUCCCCUUGAAGUAGACACAAGGAUCAUAGACACUUCUGCUAAACUUCUGUUCUUUCAUGAAACUAUCAAAUCGCUGGUUCCAUUGCCGUGGGGAUUGCUUUAACCCAUACAGAGAUUUCUUAAGCCUCCAUACGUAAUCUUCCUUCCCUUUUUCAAUGUAACCUUCUGGUUGACACAUAUAUAUCUCUUCCUCAAGUGUUCCAUUUAAAAAUGCUGUCUUUACAUCGAGUUGCUCCAACUCCAGGUUGAAGUUGACUGUGAUUGACAACAUUAAGCGAAUGGAAACAUGCUUCACCACAGGAGCAAAAAUCUCAUGAUAAUCGACUCCUUCUACCUGGGUGAAUCCUUUUGCAACCAGUCUGCCUUUAUAUCUAGGCUUUUCAACUCCUGGUAUUCCCGGUUUUCUCUUGAACAACCACCUGCACUCGAUGACUUUCUUACCUUCAGGUUUCUUUACAACCUCAAAGGUCUCAUUCUUCUUUAGAGACACCAUUUCGUCAUCUGCAGCUAGUUUCCAGUGCUUCCAGUCCUUGCUCUUAGUUGCUUCGAAAUAGGAACCAGGUUCAUCUUGCUCUAUAUCUUCAGCGCUGGCAAGAGCAUAAGCCACAAAAUCUGCGUUCUCAAACCGAGACGGGGGUCUGAUUUCUCUCCUCUGUCUGUCUCUUGCUAAGAUAUAGUUGUCCAAGUUUUGCGCCUCAGAACUUUCUUGGUCAUUAUCAGCUCCCUGAGACUCACUUUCAGCUUCGGAGCUUUCUGAACUUUCUGUCUCAGAGCCAUCAUGUUCAGCAGAGUCUUCAUCAUCCGUAGAACCUUUAUCUCCAUUAGUGUUGAGAUUACUAGGUCCCCUUAUCAAGUCUGUGCUGAAAGAUACUCGUUUCUUCUUCUUCUUUUCUUUAACUUCCUCAGAAACUGAGAUGUCUUUGAAUACUCUUUCUUCAUCGAACACGACGUUUCUGCUUAUGGUGCAUUUUCCUUCAUCUGGGAUCCAGACGCGAUACCCUUUAGUUUCAGGAGGAUAUCCCAUAAAGACGCCUUUAAUAGCUCUAGGGCUCGUCUUAUCUUGUGUCACAUGCACAUAAGCAAUGCUUCCAAACCUCCUAAUAUGAUCAAGGCUUAUCUUAGAGCCUGUCCAGAUUUCUUCAGGAAUUUUAAACUCUAUGGAUGAGUUCGGUGAUCUGUUGAUGAGAUAGACAGCAGUAGAUGCAGCAUGAUCCCAAAAUUUCUUCUCCAGACCAGUCUCGGAUAUCAUACAUCUAACCUUAUCCAUGAUCGUCCUGUUCAUUCUCUCGGACACUCCAUUUUGCUGGGGUGUGUAGGCACAAGUCUUAUGCCGUUUGAUCCCAGCUUUCUUGCAUAAUUCAUCAAAUCGAUUGUUACAGAAUUCCAAACCAUUAUCAGUUCUCAAACACUUAAUUUUCUUCCCUGUCUGAUUUUCCACCAAUAACUUCCACUCUGCAAACUUCUCAAAUGCUUGAUCCUUGCUGUUUAAGAAUCUGAUCCACACCUUCUUAGAGAAAUCAUCCACGAAUGUAAUGAAAUACUUGCAGCCUACUUCAGUCUCAGUGUUUGAAACUGAUCCCCAUAAGUCGCUAUGAAUAUACUCCAGAAUCCCGGAACUCUUGUGCUUUGCUGUAGGAAAACUAAGCUUGUGAGACUUUCCUAACACACAUGUCUCGCAAAAAUCUAGUGAGUGAACUUCCUUCUCACUUAGAUACCCUUUCUUAACUAAGAUGUUCAUGCACUUCAAGCUCAUGUGCCCAAGCCUUGAGUGCCAUCGAUUUGUUAAGUUUACUGAGGUCCUCACCACUGCAGCUUCUCCUUUAAUGACUUUGCCUUGAAGAUAGUACAAACCAUCCUUGUACUUUCCUGAGAUAACCUUCUGUUUUCCUUUAUAGAACUGCACUUUGAAAUCUUUUCCUUCAUAAUGGCAGCCAUUCUUCUCAAGCUGUCCGUAAGAGAUCAGAUUCUUUGUCAUUGAAGGAAUGUAUCUCACAUCGGUGAGAAUGAUUUCAGACUCAUCUGAAUUCAGUAUCUUCAGUUUUCCAAUGCCCUUAACAUCACUCUGCGUGUUGUUUCCCAUCAACACCGUUCCCCCUUCACAUUCCUGUAGAUCAAAUAAUGAUUCUUUGUCUGGGGUGAUAUGGAACGUACACCCUGAGUCCAGCACCCAUUCAUCCUUUGUAGACACGGUGCUAGCUGUUAGAAUCAUAGGUUCUCGUGGCUUAGUAGUCACGUUUACCGAUCCAGGAGCUUUAGGAUGUUUUCUGUCUGGGCAAUCCCUUUUCCAGUGGUCCUCCUUUCCACACACGAAACAGCCCUUGCUGUUCUUCGUGUAUCUAGGUUUGGACUGAGAUCUUCCUCUUCCCUUAGAUUUGCCUCUCCCAUUAGGACCACUUUUCUUAUCUGAUCUUCCCCUAGCAUCAACAUAUAGACCUUCUGCGUCCGCCUUAGGUCUUGUUAACAACCCUUUUUCCUUGAGUUCUACUUCCUUCGAGUAUGCUGAAGUAACAACCUCAUUGAUUGUUAAUGUGUCUUUGCCACUGCCGUAUUUCAGGGUAUGAACUAGCUGCUCAUACUUGGUUGGGAGGCUCGAUAAGAUUUGUAUCGCCUGAUCUUCCUCAGGUAUGUUGAUGUUGAGACUUUCGAGAUCAUCCACCAGCUUAAGAAAAUCAUUCAAAUUCUCUUCAAUACUCUUGCUUUCUUCCAUUCUGAAACUUGCAAAUCUUUGUUUCAGGUAGAUCCGAUUCGGCAAGGUCUUUGUCUGGUAAUCUACUUCUAGUGCUUUCCAAACUGCGAGUGCAGUCGGCUGCUUUCUGAUCUUCCUCAGUAUGGUGUCGUUAACACUCAUGCAGAUCAGAUUCUUGCACCUCCGGUCUUUCUCUUCACUGACCGGUUCAGGUUUGAUUUCAACAUCUUUACCAUCUGCAUCCUUAGUGCUCGAUUCUGGUUUAGACUCACUUAAGCACCUGUCUAGACCUAGAAUUUCAAGCUGACACAGCAUCUUGUAUUUCCAUAAACCGAAAUCACCUUUGCCAUCGAACUUCUCAACGUCGAAUUUGCCUUUGAUUGGUUCCAUUGACUUGUGAUUCUGAUUCAAAACUCUUUCUCCUUCUCAGGUACCCUUGCUUUUCUUGCAACGCCCACGAGACUGGUUUAGCACAGACUUGUUCUUAACCUAGAACGCUCUGAUACCACUUGUAAGGUUUAACUCCUUAUAACCUUAGUUCGUUAACACGUUCGUUAUCUGCUUGUUGAUUGUUUAAGAAGAGAUUAAACUAAGCAAUAAGAACACACACGAAUUUAACGAGUUCCCAGCCUCAAACUGGUACGUCUCGUGGGAGACUGUCCUCCCAAACUUCACUAUGAAUAAGAGAGUACAAUCGAUCACGAUUGUGAUCAAGCUUGUGUAUAUGCAAGCUCUAUAUCUGAGAGUAAACGUAAAACCUUACAGCACAAGAAAGUCUAUCAGGUGUUUAUAUAGCUAGCAACAAUAAACCCUAACUUCUUGCUUUUGGGCUUUCGCAGGUGACAACGGAGACAGGCCCAUCCCAUGCAGCAUGCACUUAGACUUGGGCUUAGGCCUACAACCAACACUACCAGAGAGGAUCAUCUCUAGCGACAAUGGCUUCUACUUCAGGCAGUGUCGGGGGAGAAGUAACUGGUGUACCGCCGCUUGCUAAGUCAGCUCUACCGC